Molecule: ribosomal RNA, 459 nt
Filed under: uncultured bacterium
Lineage: Bacteria
Description: partial 16S ribosomal RNA
Rfam family: Bacterial small subunit ribosomal RNA
Source: RNAcentral
CCUACGGGAGGCAGCAGUGAGGAAUAUUGGUCAAUGGUCGGGAGACUGAACCAGCCAAGCCGCGUGAGGGAGGAAGGUACAGAGUAUCGUAAACCUCUUUUGUCAGGGAACAAAGACUGGGACGCGUCCCCGGAUGAGUGUACCUGAAGAAAAAGCAUCGGCUAACUCCGUGCCAGCAGCCGCGGUAAUACGGAGGAUGCGAGCGUUAUCCGGAUUUAUUGGGGUUAAAGGGUGCGCAGGCGGGCUGUUAAGUCAGCGGUCAAAGCCCGGGGCUCAACCCCGGCCCCGCGUUGAAACUGGGCAGCCUCGAGUUGGAGAGAAGUAUGCGGAAUGCGCGGUGUAGCGGUGAAAUGCAUAGAUAUCGCGCAGAACCCGGAUUGCGAAGGCAGCAUGCCGGCCCCACACUGCCGCUGAGGCACGAAAGCGUGGGUAUCGAACAGGAUUAGAUACCUAGUAGUC